Molecule: ribosomal RNA, 372 nt
Filed under: uncultured organism
Description: bacterial SSU rRNA
Rfam family: Bacterial small subunit ribosomal RNA
Source: RNAcentral
CGGAGGGGGCUAGCGUUAUUCGGAAUUAUUGGGCGUAAAGGGCGCGUAGGCGGCCCGGUAAGUCAAAGGUGAAAUCCCUCGGCUCAACUGAGGAACUGCCUUUGAAACUGUCGGGCUUGAGGCCGGGAGGGGGUAGCGGAAUUCCCAGUGUAGCGGUGAAAUGCGUAGAUAUUGGGAGGAACACCGGUGGCGAAGGCGGCUACCUGGACCGGUUCUGACGCUGAUGCGCGAAAGCGUGGGUAACAAACAGGAUUAGAUACCCUGGUAGUCCACGCUGUAAACGAUGGGUGCUCGGUGUCGCGGGUAUCGACCCCUGCGGUGCCUUAGCUAACGCGUUAAGCACCCCGCCUGGGGAGUACGGUCGCAAGGCUG